GACCCGACCAGUCGGCAUACUACACACGAACCACCAGCCAUGGACACCAACUGGGGCGUUGGCGUCGGCGUUGACCUGAACGCCCCGCCGCCCACCGGCGGCGACGACUGGCGCGCCCAGCUCCUGCCCGAGGCGCGCAGCAGGGUCGUCAACAAGAUAAUGGAAUGUCUGAAGAAGCAUCUGCCGGUAUCAGUGCCAGAGGGACUGAACGAACUUCAAAUCAUCGCGGUGCGGUUCGAAGAUAAGAUCUAUACUGCAGCGACCAGCCAGUCUGAUUAUUUGCGGAAGAUCUCUCUGAAAAUGCUAUCUAUGGAGACGAAGGCACAACAGGCCCCUGGAAAUGCUCAAGUGAUUCCAAAUCUAAACAACCCCGGUCAAGCAUCAUGUUUAAGAAUGCCCGACGGAACCCCCUGGCGGCCCAUCCAGGGUUCAGACCCCGCUGCAGUCGCCGCUGCUGCCGGCGUUGAUCCGAACGCCCCGCCCCUCACCGGAGGCGAUUGGCGCCCCCAGCUUCAGCCUGAGGCGCGCAGCAGGAUCGUCAAUAAGAUAAUGGAAUGCCUGAAGAAGCAUCUGCCAGCUGUAUCAGUGCCAGAGGGACUGAACGAACUUCAAAAAAUCGCUGUGCGAAGCGAAGAGAAGAUCUAUACAGCAGCGACCAGCCAGUCUGAUUAUUUGCGGAAGAUUUCUCUGAAAAUACAAUCUAUGGAGAAGAACACAUAACAGGCUCCUGGAAAUGCUCAACAAAUCAAAACAACCCCGGUCAAGCCACCCUCUCCAGCAUCAUGUAUAAGGAUUUUGCAUCUAACUUGUGUGUCAUGUGUCCGUAGUUAUUGAACCCGGAGCGGCGAUUGACAUGAUGCAUAAGCUGACGAUUAUCGUGAUACUGAGUUCGCUAGUGGGUAUGAUGACUAGUGUAUUCUCAAUUGGCUGUUCGUGUGAGGAUGACGUCUCGCUGUGCUCGAGUGUGAUGUAUGUUUUGUCUGCCAAAUGAGGAAGUUGUGCUUGUUCCCUUAGUUUCAUCACUCUCCGUGCUCGAGUGUGAUGUAUGUUUCCUCUGCCAAAUGAGGAAGUUGUGCUUGUUCCCUUAGUGCCAUCGAGGUGCCAUGUAAUAAGUUAGACAUUGUGUAAGACUAUGUUGUUUAAUGUAUGGAAUUUCUGUAUCGACCGUGCUUCCUAGCUUUGAAUGAUCCUGGGGCUAGUGAGUCGACAAAAUGGAAUGGAUUAAUAAUUCGAAGCUGAUAAUGUUUAAAC
This is an RNA transcript of Triticum dicoccoides, 1251 nucleotides long. RefSeq lists it as uncharacterized. The transcript has 8 exons. The record is from RefSeq and is a predicted model, not a curated record. NCBI's taxonomy places the organism in Eukaryota, Viridiplantae, Streptophyta, Magnoliopsida, Poales, Poaceae.